GCUUGCUCCAUGAUUCAGCGGCGGACGGGUGAGUAAUGCCUAGGAAUCUGCCUAUUAGUGGGGGACAACGUUUCGAAAGGAACGCUAAUACCGCAUACGUCCUACGGGAGAAAGCAGGGGACCUUCGGGCCUUGCGCUAAUAGAUGAGCCUAGGUCGGAUUAGCUAGUUGGUGAGGUAAUGGCUCACCAAGGCGACGAUCCGUAACUGGUCUGAGAGGAUGAUCAGUCACACUGGAACUGAGACACGGUCCAGACUCCUACGGGAGGCAGCAGUGGGGAAUAUUGGACAAUGGGCGAAAGCCUGAUCCAGCCAUGCCGCGUGUGUGAAGAAGGUCUUCGGAUUGUAAAGCACUUUAAGUUGGGAGGAAGGGCAUUAACCUAAUACGUUAGCGUUUUGACGUUACCGACAGAAUAAGCACCGGCUAACUUCGUGCCAGCAGCCGCGGUAAUACGAAGGGUGCAAGCGUUAAUCGGAAUUACUGGGCGUAAAGCGCGCGUAGGUGGUUUGUUAAGUUGGAUGUGA
Molecule: ribosomal RNA, 523 nt
Filed under: uncultured Pseudomonas sp.
Lineage: Bacteria; Pseudomonadati; Pseudomonadota; Gammaproteobacteria; Pseudomonadales; Pseudomonadaceae
Description: bacterial SSU rRNA
Rfam family: Bacterial small subunit ribosomal RNA
Source: RNAcentral